Long non-coding RNA from Osmerus eperlanus (European smelt), 654 nucleotides. RefSeq lists it as uncharacterized. Lineage: Eukaryota; Metazoa; Chordata; Actinopteri; Osmeriformes; Osmeridae. The transcript has 3 exons. The record is from RefSeq and is a predicted model, not a curated record.
AGAAGAAGGAGGAGGAGGAGGAGGAGGAGGAGGAGGAGGAGGAGGAAGAGGAGAAGAAGAAGGAGGAGGAGGAGAAAGAAGAAGGAGAACGGUGAUCUCUAAUGAAAUUCGGGCCACCAUGGUUGACCAUGUGCUCAACCAUGGUUUGAGCAUGAGGGAGGCUGGCCAGAGGGUCCAACCAAAUCUCAGCCGCUUCACUGUUGCUGCCAUCAUUAGAACCUUUAGAAUGGAGAACAGGACUGAAAGAGAACCACACCGUGGAGGAAGAACAUGCACUUUCACAGCCAAACAGGAUACUGACAUUGUGAAAAUGGUUCGUGAAAACAACACUAUCACACUCCGACAGAUACAAACCAGGAUCCUGGCUGACCAUGCCACAUUCAGAAACAUGGGGGAAUGGAAUGCCCCAGGAAUGCCAUGCGGAUGAAACAAGUGUACAGGGUCCUAUUUGACUGAAACACAGACCACAUCAAGGAGUUACGGCAAGAGUUUGUGCUUCGGAUCCAGGAGCAUGACACAGCUAAUGAGCUAUAUGAAUACAUAUUCAUUGAUGAGGUUGGAUUCAACCUGGUGAAGAGGAGGCUCCGGGGCAGAAAUGUCAUUGGCCAGCCCGCCAUUGUUGAGGUCCCCGGCCAGCGUGAUGGGAACAUCACU